This 47-nucleotide non-coding RNA is filed under the name Trichobilharzia regenti. Lineage: Eukaryota; Metazoa; Platyhelminthes; Trematoda; Strigeidida; Schistosomatidae. The record is from RNAcentral.
AUCCAGUGACGAGUCCCAAAUAGGACGAAAUGCGCGUUAUCCAGGAU